Long non-coding RNA from Brassica rapa (field mustard), 747 nucleotides. RefSeq lists it as uncharacterized. The record is from RefSeq and is a predicted model, not a curated record. Lineage: Eukaryota; Viridiplantae; Streptophyta; Magnoliopsida; Brassicales; Brassicaceae.
AAGUGUUGAUACAGAGCAUAUGGCAAGCAGUCCACAAAAGCAGUAAACCAUUGAAAUAAAUUGGAAAGUAAACUAUAUUCUAACAAUCAUGGAUCCAAACAGAUCAGCUAAAGACUUGCUUGUAUAUCUUCGGGCAAUUGUCAAUAAUAGCACCUUUUGAAGUUUAUUUCUCAAAAAGAGCACUAGAAGGAGAAAGUCACAAAAAUGACAUUCGUUGAAGGGAGAAGUACCAGGACUACUUGAAGCUCAAAUCAAGAGUUGAAAUCCUACAACAUUCAGAACGGCAUUUGCUAGGUGACCCGGUAUGGGAGUGGAUGAGCUUGAGCAGCUAGAACUUUAAGUAGAUACAUCACUAAGGCAAAAAUGAUCCACAAAGUUGGAGGAAAGUGAUGCAGCCCUUAAUCAAUCACUAUGGGGAGCUUCUUCUUCCGCAGAACAUCAUCAACAACAGCAACAACAAGGGAUGAGCUCUUAUCAAGCAAACAUUCCGAGUUAAGAAGCAGGUUUCUUCAGGCCUUUACAUGGGACGUUUGUUUGUUUUUAUGGAAAGAUCAUUACAAUCAUUUGUAUGACAAAUGCAAGCAACUCUGCAACAUCACAUAAUAUUAUUAACGGGUUCUUCCGUGGAUGGAUGGUCUGAAAAAAUUCAUAGCAAUCUAUACGUAUGUGUUCUAUAGAUAACAUAUCAUGGUUGUGCCAUUUGGUUUUUCCAAGAGAACAAUAGUUCAUGACUACAAAACACUGAUA